UUUUACUUCCUUAUAGUUUCUAUUUCUAGCAUGGCUUAUGGUUGGGGGUUUCUUACCUAAUACUGCAGUGACCUCUCACACAUAGUUCUUGUCCACUAUCGGGAAGUAAAGGGCAAUAGGACAAAUUUUAACCGCAUUAAAGAGACUGAGGAAGCUAUUCCCUAUUCCCAAGAAACUGAAGACAUUUUACCCAACUCUGAGAUUGAUAGCUCUGGGGCUUCUAAUUUUCAUCUAAAUAAUUACCGAGUGCCUUCACAAACUACAGAUACAACAAGCCUGAACAGUGUUCAGGCAUCAGAUUAUGAAGACACUGAAUCAGCAUACAAUCACCAAGCAAGCUCUGGACUCCACUGUUUCCUUGAAUCACAACAGUCCAUGGUGGAGAAGAUUAAUGCCGGACUUGCUAAUCCUUAUUUUGAUGCAUCAAGUUCAAGAGAUUUUCAAGGAAAGUUGUCAGCCAUUUCUAGGGUAGAUUUUGUCUCUCUCACUCUAGCAGAUAAAGUGAAAGACAGCAACAAUCCUGAAUCAAAACACCUUGAUUUUGCGUUGUGGGAUGAUAUAUUGGGAAAUGGUACUUCUGGUGGUGAAGCUGUCCCUUUACAGCCAUCAUUUCCAGAAACACAACCUGAUACCAUUGGAGUCCUUUCUAAACAAGAAAACCAGAUACUGGGGCAACUUUUCACUAGCAACCUUGAAAUCCAGGAG
Juglans regia (Persian walnut) is the source of this 705-nucleotide long non-coding RNA. RefSeq lists it as uncharacterized. NCBI's taxonomy places the organism in Eukaryota, Viridiplantae, Streptophyta, Magnoliopsida, Fagales, Juglandaceae. The record is from RefSeq and is a predicted model, not a curated record. The transcript is spliced from 4 exons.